GACGAACGCUGGCGGCGUGCUUAACACAUGCCAGUCGAACGGAAAGGCCCUUCGGGGUCCUCGAGUGGCGAACGGGUGAGUAACACGUGGGUGAUCUGCCCUGCACUUUGGGAUAAGCCUGGGAAACUGGGUCUAAUACCGAAUAGGACCACGCGCUUCAUGGUGUGUGGUGGCAAGCUUUUGCGGUGUGGGAUGGGCCCGCGGCCUAUCAGCUUGUUGGUGGGGUAAUGGCCUACCAAGGCGACGACGGGUAGCCGGCCUGAGAGGGUGACCGGCCACACUGGGACUGAGAGACGGCCCAGACUCCUACGGGAGGCAGCAGUGGGGAAUAUUGCACAAUGGGCGCAAGCCUGAUGCAGCGACGCCGCGUGAGGGAUGACGGCCUUCGGGUUGUAAACCUCUUUCAAUAGGGACGAAGCGCAAGUGACGGUACCUAUAGAAGAAGCACCGGCCAACUACGUG
RNAcentral lists this ribosomal RNA (462 nucleotides) under uncultured bacterium. Its description in RNAcentral is "partial 16S ribosomal RNA". It matches the Rfam family "Bacterial small subunit ribosomal RNA", at positions 28 to 507 of the family's 1533-position model. The record is from RNAcentral.